Long non-coding RNA from Lotus japonicus, 1946 nucleotides. RefSeq lists it as uncharacterized. The transcript is spliced from 3 exons. Lineage: Eukaryota; Viridiplantae; Streptophyta; Magnoliopsida; Fabales; Fabaceae. The record is from RefSeq and is a predicted model, not a curated record.
AAAACUUUGGCCACAAAAGAUGGUUUUACCACAUAAUCAAAACCAAAUCAGCCACAGCCAACACCAUAAUGAAAUUAUGAGUUUUAUAUUUUAACUGCCACUACAGCUUUUUUUUUUUUUGUCAAUGGAUAAUGGUUUCAUUAAGAGCCUAAAAAAUCAGGCGGAGGAUACAAUGCAGAUUGAGGGUAGUGGGGAAUAGACUCAUCACAAGGGAACAACCUUGUCCCACUACAACUAUGAACCUCCUGAAAAAAGACAGACUCUUAAGGGAAAGAAACCACUAACAGGAGAAACCUCCUCUUCAUAUUCAAAGGCAUCUGAGCAUGGCGCCGGUGGAGGGGUUUCUCUUCCCGGCUCGCGAUCUUGGAAAGGAAGGGUAGACAAUCCAAUCGAAUGGCAGCAUCUAGACUUGCAUCGAAAGGACUUAAUCCCGCAUCGAAUGCCACUACAGCUUAAAAAUAUGUAAACUUAAUACACUUCAGUGAUAUUUUAACUAUCACUUUUUGGUGCAAGUUAGUGAGGCUUAAAUAUAGGGAAAAGCCCAAAUUGUUUGGUCACACAGAAAGCCUAAACGUUCACGAGGCUAAACAAAAUCAUGUGGUUACCAGUUCUAUUCUACCAACAAAAAUGUUGUUAUGACUGUAAAAAAAAAUGUUGUUAUUAAAAAUGGUCAAUUUAAUUUAAUAAAGAAAAAAAAUACUCAUUGCGAACCGUUAAUAAUUCUUCUUCUCACACCUACCUACCUCUGCAACCAACAUUCCCAUAUCCUCCAAAUCCAAUCUAUACUAGACACAAGCCCUUUAGAACGACAAAAUUCCGACGUGGCGUUCUCCCAGCAACUUGCCACGCGUCAGCUUCUCCCGCUUCCUUUCAAGGCUGUUACGGUUUAUUCUUCUCUGCUCCCUUUAAUGUUGUUAGCUUAGCUGUAAGGGAUGUAUAUGUUUAUUAGCUGUGGGAUAAAUAUGUUUUUCAAACUAUGCAUAUUUCAGAUCAUAUACAAAUGUUUGCAUAUUAUGUUUGUAUAAUAUUUCUCCCGGUUGAAAAGUUUUAUCCACGAUCUUCCUAGUUCCCACUGCUAGCUAGCUGUCUGGAAUUCUUAUGUUUCUCCCACUUUUAAAAUUUGAAAUUUGAAAUCCACCUCAAGUCCAUUUUCACAUAGAGUAUUGCUCCCGGUUUGUGUUUUUUCCGGCUAUAUAUAAAUUAAGAGCAAGGCUUUCAGAUCUACCACACCCAUCCACCAACACUCAAUUGCUUUCCCACCUCCAGCCAACGCCUCCUUCAUCUUGUGUGUGAAGCCACACACAACAACUUCCAAACCCCGGUGCUUCCGAAAAAUCCAUCGGUAAGAUCUCCUCCUCCUCCUCCCUUUUGCUCAUUUAUCUUUGACCAUUUUCUUCUUUCAAUCGUUUUUUUGUUGUUCUUCUUCUCCUUUGUUUUCAUAUAUCAGAACAAGAGAGUGAGAGAGUGGGAAUCGUUUUUAUGCUCCACCCACACCUUCCAUGCAAGACAAGUUUGAAGAUAAUGAGGUGAUUUUUUACUGGGAAAAGAGAAGGAGGUGGAUGGAUGAAUGUUAACGAGAAAGAGAACUUUCUGGAAUUUGGAGAAAGAGAGUGGGAGUUUGGUUUCAACUGUAAGGGAGGAACAAGAGGGCUAGAAAUAAAGCCAUAACAAACACAACCACCACUACAAUGGCAGUGAUAAGCAGAUGGUGUUCCUUUUUUUUAUGUUUUUGAACUGAGGGUGGGGGCUGAUGCUGUUGCACGGGUUGCUAACAAGUUAUCGACAUAGACCUUGAUUUCCUGUUAAUUUGCACUAGAAAAAUUAGCUUGCAAGGCUAAUUAAACUGGUAGUAUUGUACAAUAAUGAGUUUGUAAGUAUGAAUUGACUGUCAUUGAAUAUUCUAAUUUAAUGAUUUUGCUGUCAAAAGCUGAAGGAAAUAUUGUGUG